AAAGGGAGCGUAGGCGGCCUGUUAAGUCAGGGGUGAAAGACGGUGGCUCAACCAUCGCAGUGCCCUUGAUACUGACGGGCUUGAAUGUAGUUGAGGUGGGCGGAAUGUGACAAGUAGCGGUGAAAUGCAUAGAUAUGUCACAGAACACCGAUUGCGAAGGCAGCUCACUAAGCUAUGAUUGACGCUGAGGCUCGAAAGCGUGGGGAUCAAACAGGAUUAGAUACCCUGGU
This 230-nucleotide ribosomal RNA is filed under the name uncultured bacterium. RNAcentral's name for it is "partial 16S ribosomal RNA". It matches the Rfam family "Bacterial small subunit ribosomal RNA", at positions 562 to 791 of the family's 1533-position model. The record is from RNAcentral.